Non-coding RNA from Tinamus guttatus (white-throated tinamou), 248 nucleotides. The record is from RefSeq and is a predicted model, not a curated record. NCBI's taxonomy places the organism in Eukaryota, Metazoa, Chordata, Aves, Tinamiformes, Tinamidae.
AGGACUAUCCUUAACUGUAAGAAGAUCAUCCCUAAGUUUGCUCUUUAUCAGUUUAUCCUCAUCUCGAGCCAGCUGCAGGCAGCUAUUAUCAACAUCUUGGCUAUGCAAAGGAUUAUUCCCUGUGUCCCACCACUCUCCUCAUCAGCAAGAGGAGCCUAUAUGAUCCACCAGUUCCUCAUUGUGGAGAUGUUCCUGAUAACCCUAAUCUCCCGAGUGGUCUAUAGGAGAAGAUACGACGAUCUAGAACC